Molecule: ribosomal RNA, 1392 nt
Filed under: Amphicteis gunneri
Lineage: Eukaryota; Metazoa; Annelida; Polychaeta; Terebellida; Ampharetidae
Description: partial 16S ribosomal RNA
Rfam family: Bacterial large subunit ribosomal RNA (bases 1-1227)
Source: RNAcentral
UCGGCCGGGGGUUUAUUAGAUAAAUAAUUAAUAAAAAUAGAAAAGUACUAAGGUUUUGUUAACUGUAAAGGUUUUGUUAAAAUUAUUAUAAAGCUAUAUUUAGUUUAUUUACUUACUGCAUAACGGCUCAGCAAAGCAUGUGCUGAUUGGGCGUUUCCCCGAAGAGUGAGGAGCUGAGAUGGUUUUGCUAAGAGCCCACUGGUUAGUGUUGCAUAACUAUCAGGAAAAAUCAUUCCAGUGGCUACAUACCUUUCGCAUCAUUUGAUAGCUGGUUUCUGGGGAUUCUAUAUGUGUAGGACUAAGUGUAUAACACUUGUGGUGGUUGCAGGGGAGAAGCUCUGUAAUUUGUUUAAGAAUUUAUUUAAGGGGACAAUAAAAGUAGGCUUUGUAGCAGCCGCCUUAUGGCAACGCGUGACAGCUGUUGUAUUUCCGUAAAUAUAUUUUUUGUUCUGAUUUUGUUACUUGGACAUGUGUUUUAAUUUUUUGGCACGCUGACUCUGCUGAGAUUAGUAUUUUUUUGUUAUAAAGUGUUUAGUUUUCUGAGAAAUGCAUUUGUAGUUUGUUAAAAUAUUAUAUCGGCGGAAGGAACUCGGCAAAUAUUUAUCUCGACUGUUUACCAAAAACACUGCCUCAUGAAAACUAGAAUAUGAGGUCAGUCCUGCCCAGUGGCUUGCGAGUUAAACGGCCGCAGUAAACAUGACUGUGCUAAGGUAGCGUGAUUAGUUGCCCUUUAAUUGGGGGCGUGACGAAUGGAUUUACGAGGGUUAAGCUGUCUCCUGUCGAGCAAAUGAAAUUGGGCCAUAGGUGAAAAUACCUGUAUGUGAACACAAGACAAGAAGACCCCGUAGAGCUUUGUUUAAAGCUAGGCGACAGGCGUUCUGUUUAGGGCGCCCGUCGGACUAAUAAAAACUUAACUGGGGUGGUUGAGGAAAAGCUAAACUUCUUUUCUCUAGUAGACGGCGAUAUGCCACGGAGGAUCUAUAGGGAAACAAUUUGUUCUAAUAUAGUCAAAAGAAAAGCUACCUCGGGGGUAACAGACUAAUUUUUCCUAAGAGUUCACAUUGACGGAAAAGUUUGGCACAUCGAUGUUGGCUUAGGAGAUCCCGUGGGUCAGUAGCAGCCUGCAAUGGUGGGUUUGUUCAACCUUUAAACUCCUACAUGAGCUGAGUUCAGACCGGCGUGAGUUAGGUCAGUUUCUAUCUGUGUUAAAAUUUUUGAUUUAUAUGUACGAAAGGACCGUGAUUUCAAUAUUAUAUAUGUUGUUUUGAUUUUGUCUAAUGGGUGUUUAAGGGGGUUUGUUAAUAUACUAUUAUGUGUUAGUUUUCUUUAUGUGUUUUACAGUGUUAGUCAUUUUGCUUAUUUUAAGGCUUAUAAAAAAGAAAAAAGUACCGA